Molecule: non-coding RNA, 73 nt
Organism: Mustela erminea (ermine)
Lineage: Eukaryota; Metazoa; Chordata; Mammalia; Carnivora; Mustelidae
Source: the annotation of a RefSeq genome assembly
GCCUGGCUGGCUCGGUCGGUAGAGCACGAGACUCUUGAUCUUGGGGUUGUGGGUUCAAGCCCCACGCUGGGCC